This 253-nucleotide ribosomal RNA is filed under the name uncultured bacterium. Its description in RNAcentral is "partial 16S ribosomal RNA". It matches the Rfam family "Bacterial small subunit ribosomal RNA", at positions 524 to 776 of the family's 1533-position model. The record is from RNAcentral.
UACGAAGGGGGCUAGCGUUGCUCGGAAUUACUGGGCGUAAAGGGAGCGUAGGCGGAUAGUUUAGUCAGAGGUGAAAUCCCGGGGCUCAACCUCGGAGCUGCCUUUGAUACUGGCUAUCUUGAGUAUGGGAGAGGUGUGUGGAACUCCGAGUGUAGAGGUGAAAUUCGUAGAUAUUCGGAAGAACACCAGUGGCGAAGGCGACACACUGGCCCAUUACUGACGCUGAGGCUCGAAAGCCAGGGGAGCGAACGGG